Molecule: ribosomal RNA, 405 nt
Filed under: uncultured bacterium
Lineage: Bacteria
Description: partial 16S ribosomal RNA
Rfam family: Bacterial small subunit ribosomal RNA
Source: RNAcentral
AUUGAACGCUGGCGGCAGGCCUAACACAUGCAAGUCGAACGAGUGGCGGACGGGUGAGUAAUGUCUGGGAACCUGCCUGAUGGAGGGGGAUAACUACUGGAAACGGUAGCUAAUACCGCAUACCAUCGGAUGUGCCCAGAUGGGAUUAGCUAGUAGGUGGGGUAAAGGCUCACCUAGGCGACGAUCCCUAGCUGGUCUGAGAGGAUGACAGGCAACCCUGGAACGGGGACACGGUCCAGACUCCUACGGGGGGCAGCAGUGGGGAAUAUUGCACAAUGGGCGAAAGCCUGAUGCAGCCAUGCGGGGGGUAUGAAGAAGGCCUUGGGGUUGUAAAGUCCUUUCAGCGGGGAGAGGUUACCGGCAGAAGAGGCACCGGCUAACUCCGUGCAAGCAGCGGGGGUAAAC